Molecule: long non-coding RNA, 1372 nt
Organism: Parambassis ranga (Indian glassy fish)
Lineage: Eukaryota; Metazoa; Chordata; Actinopteri; Ambassidae
Source: Ensembl
UCUGAACGUUCAUACUCUGAUGUGUCAUCAGCUUAGGUCCUUGUCAUGUCCUGAUCUGUGUAGGUGAAACAGGAGGAAGAGGAGGAGGAGGUGAUCUGUAUUAAGGAGGAGCCGGAGGAGCAGGAGCAGGAAGUGAUGGCCACCCUGCUGCUGGAUUGUCAGGUGCAGCAGGAUGACCUGCCAGACUCAGAGUCUCAGAGGUCGAUGACAGAGUGGUCAAGACUUCCAGCAGGUCAGAGCAGUCUCACUGCAGCGUUCAGCUCAGCCGGACCCAGCACAGGGUCACCGCUGUGCUCGGAUUCGCCGCCUCAGUUGGUGGACCCCCUGCCUCCCAGCACCCCUCCUCGGCAGUCAGUGCGACCCUGGAACAAAGACCUCAGCCUGUACGAAGAGUACAAACUGCGCAGGAAUGAGCGGCGGCGGCGAAACAUCAACAGACGCAGAGAGCUGGAGAAGAUGCUGCCUCAGCCUCUGCUGGCGGAUAUAGUGAGGGAGCGGCGAGAGAAGACCAGACUGAGGGUGGCCAGGUGGAGGGCCAAGAGGAAGCUACAGGCCUGUCUGAACCAGGCUCAGGCUCUUGGUGGCGCUGCAGUCGUCUCUCAGGCUUCGUUUCCUGCGGUCAGUCAGCAUCAGCAGCUCAGAGCAGCCUGUGCUCCCACCUCCAGCUCUCAGCAGACGCACAGCUCAGCAACACCUCAGUCCUUCAACAACAUGACAGUCACUCUUCCCUUCAUACCUUUCUCCUCCUCCUCUCAGCACCACCGAGGCGCCACCAGACCUCCACAUGAGCACGUGACCUCGUCCUCCUCGUACCCGGCCGCCAGCCUGGCACAGCAGAGCAUCUCCUUAACAGACUCUGAUAUCUUACAGUGAGUCCACAAGUGUAGCUCCAGGACUGUAUAUAAAUGACACACAGAAUGGGGUCAGAGGCCCGGUGGAUCGGACCCGUCAGUGCCCUCUGAUAGAAAGCACCACAGGGACAGAGGAUCCUUCAUGUCCUCACUGCCCGCUGCAUGUUUAAAUGUGUUAACAGUAUUUAUCAGUGAUUGUCUUUAUGUGGUCACAGUGGACCUUGGUCCUGCUGGUGUAGUGGUCUUUGAGCAGCGGGGGGAAGGGGGGGGGGUUAGCGUCCGUUGACGAUCUUCUGGGAGAUGGCGCCGGGCAGCGUGUAGAACAACAGGGCCAGGAACAGCAUGGUGAUGAGCAGGACCAGCGCGAUGAUGAUGUACUUCUUGUAGCUUCGCCACACCAGGUGAAAGAAACACUUGAAGGGGUUAACGAACCAGGAGAAGGAGGUGUCAGGACGGCUGUGGGGGGAGGAGGGGGAGGAGGGGAGGGCAGAGCAGGUCAGGAUGAAUCUGUAGUAAGUUAU